GAACGCGAAGAACCUUACCUGGCCUUGACAUAGUAGAGACUUUCCAGAGAUGGAUUGGUGCCUUCGGGAAUCUACAUACAGGUGCUGCAUGGCUGUCGUCAGCUCGUGUCGUGAGAUGUUGGGUUAAGUCCCGCAACGAGCGCAACCCUUGUCAUUAGUUGCCAUCAUUAAGUUGGGCACUCUAAUGAGACUGCCGGUGACAAGCCGGAGGAAGGUGGGGAUGACGUCAAGUCCUCAUGGCCCUUAUGACCAGGGCUUCACACGUCAUACAAUGGUCGGUACAGAGGGUAGCCAAGCCGCGAGGUGGAGCCAAUCUCACAAAACCGAUCGUAGUCCGGAUUGCACUCUGCAACUCGAGUGCAUGAAGUCGGAAUCGCUAGUAAUCGCAGGUCAGCAUACUGCGGUGAAUACGUUCCCGGGUCUUGUACACACC
This 433-nucleotide ribosomal RNA is filed under the name uncultured bacterium. RNAcentral describes it as "bacterial SSU rRNA". It matches the Rfam family "Bacterial small subunit ribosomal RNA", at positions 957 to 1391 of the family's 1533-position model. The record is from RNAcentral.